This 816-nucleotide ribosomal RNA is filed under the name Corynebacterium sp. RNAcentral describes it as "bacterial SSU rRNA". It matches the Rfam family "Bacterial small subunit ribosomal RNA", at positions 179 to 1006 of the family's 1533-position model. The record is from RNAcentral. Lineage: Bacteria; Bacillati; Actinomycetota; Actinomycetes; Mycobacteriales; Corynebacteriaceae.
ACCGCACUUUAGUGUGUGUGGUGGAAAGUUUUUUCGGUACGAGAUGAGCCCGCGGCCUAUCAGCUUGUUGGUGGGGUAAUGGCCUACCAAGGCGUCGACGGGUAGCCGGCCUGAGAGGGUGGACGGCCACAUUGGGACUGAGAUACGGCCCAGACUCCUACGGGAGGCAGCAGUGGGGAAUAUUGCACAAUGGGCGCAAGCCUGAUGCAGCGACGCCGCGUGAGGGAUGACGGCCUUCGGGUUGUAAACCUCUUUCGACAGGGACGAAGCUUUUUGUGACGGUACCUGUAUAAGAAGCACCGGCUAACUACGUGCCAGCAGCCGCGGUAAUACGUAGGGUGCGAGCGUUGUCCGGAAUUACUGGGCGUAAAGAGCUCGUAGGUGGUUUGUCGCGUCGUCUGUGAAAUUCCGGGGCUUAACUCCGGGCGUGCAGGCGAUACGGGCAUAACUUGAGUGCUGUAGGGGAGACUGGAAUUCCUGGUGUAGCGGUGGAAUGCGCAGAUAUCAGGAGGAACACCGAUGGCGAAGGCAGGUCUCUGGGCAGUAACUGACGCUGAGGAGCGAAAGCAUGGGGAGCGAACAGGAUUAGAUACCCUGGUAGUCCAUGCCGUAAACGGUGGGCGCUAGGUGUGAGGGUCUUCCACGACUUUCGUGCCGUAGCUAACGCAUUAAGCGCCCCGCCUGGGGAGUACGGCCGCAAGGCUAAAACUCAAAGGAAUUGACGGGGGCCCGCACAAGCGGCGGAGCAUGUGGAUUAAUUCGAUGCAACGCGAAGAACCUUACCUGGGCUUGACAUAUACAAGAUCGGCGUAGAGA